Molecule: ribosomal RNA, 460 nt
Filed under: uncultured delta proteobacterium
Lineage: Bacteria; Deltaproteobacteria
Description: bacterial SSU rRNA
Rfam family: Bacterial small subunit ribosomal RNA
Source: RNAcentral
AACAAACGCUGGCGGCGUGCCUAAUACAUGCAAGUCGAACGAAGAAAGUACUUCGGUACAAGUAAGAGUGGCGCACGGGUGAGUAACACGUGGACAACCUGCCCUAUAGUGGGGAACAACCUACCGAAAGGUAGGCUAAUACCGCAUAAGACCACAGUAGCUGCGGCUACAGGGGUUAAAGAUUUAUCGCUAUUGGAUGGGUCCGCGCAUGAUUAGAUUGUUGGUGAGGUAACGGCUCACCAAAUCGACGAUCAUUAGCUGGUUUGAGAGGAUGAUCAGCCACACUGGAACUGAGACACGGUCCAGACUCCUACGGGAGGCAGCAGUAGGGAAUAUUGCGCAAUGGGGGAAACCCUGACGCAGCAACGCCGCGUGUGUGAUGAAGGCUUUAGGGUCGUAAAGCACUGUCGUAAAGGAAUAAUUUUGAAGGUACUUUACAAGAAAGGACCGGCUAACUUCG